UGCCAGUGUCGUAGGAUGAAUCGCACCUUGGGGAAAGAAAUUUGCAAGUAAUGCGACGGUGUUACCAUGACCGGUGGCAAAGAACGUAGUCACAGUCAGCCGGCCGGCACCCGGGACACGAGUUUGAACCUGAAGAAUACGUGAGAUGAGAGGAUGGAAAGAUCUGUCUUACCUGCAAAUCAAACAUGCUAAACGCGCAGACGUAGAAUGGAAGUCCCACAAAUGCUAAGGUAGGAUUCUCUAUGGACACCAGAUGUUUCCAGAGUGGCGUGACCAUGUUGGAGUCUACUCGAACUCCACAGGAUUUAGCGAGGAAAGGAAAGCUAUAUUUAGAACUCUACCCGUGCAAUGGAAGACGACAUCGACCUGCUCCUUUGUGCCGUCUGCAAAAACUGCUUCGCGUUCCGUCAAUUCCACCACAUCGGCUUUCUAAAAAGAAACCGUCGCAAGUCUAAGAAGUAAUCUCCGCGUGAUUUUACUAUUUUCUUUCUGAGCUCGUGCUUCUAUCUACCUGCACAACGUUCUCAGGGAACACUAAUAUGCGAGCGACUCGUAUAAUGUCAUAUGUACCGGAAGGUCCUGCCCCCAGGACAACGACAUUCUUGCCGUUAAAAAUCUCGGGAACUCUGUAAUCGUGACUGUGAAUCUGCUCGCCGACGAAGAGGUUCUGGCCGGAUAUCUUCGGCAUAUUGGGCUCGAAAUAAUGACCGUUGCACACCAUGACCACGUCGAACGACUCGGUCAUGAGUACGUCCCUCUGCAGAUCCUUGACCUUGACCGACCACUUCCGGUCCCCCACGGCCGGCUCAAUUAGCUCUACAUGAUGCAGCAGCUGCAAUUUUUAUACACUCACACGAAUGUAAGGACGUAGUGUGAAAUGAUCACAGUACGCGUUCAGGAAAUCCAAUAUCUCCAUGCGCGACAAGUAACUUUGAGGUCUUUCUGAUAUUGAAUAAUCUGGAUAGCCCAUCACUUCCU
This 978-nucleotide long non-coding RNA is filed under the name Harpegnathos saltator (Jerdon's jumping ant). RNAcentral's name for it is "uncharacterized LOC112588241, transcript variant X2". Lineage: Eukaryota; Metazoa; Arthropoda; Insecta; Hymenoptera; Formicidae. The record is from RNAcentral.